AAGGGCUUAGCUUAAUUAAAGCGUCUGGUUUGCGUCUAGUUGAUGUGAGAACGUAAUCUUGCAGUCCUUA
RNAcentral lists this transfer RNA (70 nucleotides) under Hystrix indica. RNAcentral's name for it is "tRNA-Ala". It matches the Rfam family "tRNA". From Rfam's summary of the family: Transfer RNA (tRNA) molecules are approximately 80 nucleotides in length. Their secondary structure includes four short double-helical elements and three loops (D, anti-codon, and T loops). Further hydrogen bonds mediate the characteristic L-shaped molecular structure. tRNAs have two regions of fundamental functional importance: the anti-codon, which is responsible for specific mRNA codon recognition, and the 3' end, to which the tRNAs corresponding amino acid is attached (by aminoacyl-tRNA synthetases). tRNAs cope with the degeneracy of the genetic code in two manners: having more than one tRNA (with a specific anti-codon) for a particular amino acid; and 'wobble' base-pairing, i.e. permitting non-standard base-pairing at the 3rd anti-codon position. The record is from RNAcentral. Lineage: Eukaryota; Metazoa; Chordata; Mammalia; Rodentia; Hystricidae.